RNAcentral lists this ribosomal RNA (563 nucleotides) under uncultured bacterium. RNAcentral describes it as "partial 16S ribosomal RNA". It matches the Rfam family "Bacterial small subunit ribosomal RNA", at positions 355 to 935 of the family's 1533-position model. The record is from RNAcentral.
UGGGGAAUAUUGCACAAUGGGCGCAAGCCUGAUGCAGCGACGCCGCGUGGGGGAUGACGGCCUUCGGGUUGUAAACCUCUUUCAGCAGGGACGAAGCGAAAGUGACGGUACCUGCAGAAGAAGCACCGGCCAACUACGUGCCAGCAGCCGCGGUAAUACGUAGGGUGCGAGCGUUGUCCGGAAUUACUGGGCGUAAAGAGCUCGUAGGUGGUUUGUCGCGUUGUUCGUGAAAACCGGGGGCUUAACCCUCGGCGUGCGGGCGAUACGGGCAGACUAGAGUACUGCAGGGGAGACUGGAAUUCCUGGUGUAGCGGUGGAAUGCGCAGAUAUCAGGAGGAACACCGGUGGCGAAGGCGGGUCUCUGGGCAAUAACUGACGCUGAGGAGCGAAAGCGUGGGGAGCGAACAGGAUUAGAUACCCUGGUAGUCCACGCCGUAAACGGUGGUACUAGGUGUGGGUUUCCUUCCUUGGGAUCCGUGCCGUAGCUAACGCAUUAAGUACCCCGCCUGGGGAGUACGGCCGCAAGCUAAAACUCAAAUGAAUUGNCGGGGUCAUAGCUGUUU